Molecule: ribosomal RNA, 808 nt
Filed under: uncultured bacterium
Lineage: Bacteria
Description: bacterial SSU rRNA
Rfam family: Bacterial small subunit ribosomal RNA
Source: RNAcentral
UUAGAGUUUGAUUCUGGCUCAGGAUGAACGCUAUCGAUAGGCCUUACACAUGCAAGUCGAGGGGCAGCACAAAGAUAGUAGCAAUACUGUUUUGGUGGCGACCGGCGCACGGGUGAGUAACGCGUAUGCAACCUUCCUACUACUUUGGGAUAGCUCGUCGAAAGGCGAAUUAAUACCUUAUAAUACAGCUACUCCGCAUGGAGUUAUCUGUUAAAGAUUCAUCGGUAGUAGAUGGGCAUGCGUUCCAUUAGUUAGUUGGUGAGGUAACUGCUCACCAAGGCAUCGAUGGAUAGGGGAACUGAGAGGUUUUACCCCCACACUGGAACUGAGACACGGUCCAGACUCCUACGGGAGGCAGCAGUGAGGAAUCUUGGUCAAUGGAGGAGACUCUGAACCAGCCAUAUCGCGUGAAGGAUGACUGCCCUACGGGUUGUAAACUUCUUUUUUAAGGGAAUAAAGUGAGCCACGUGUGGCUUUUUGCAUGUACCUUACGAAUAAGGAUCGGCUAACUCCGUGCCAGCAGCCGCGGUAAUACGGAGGAUCCGAGCGUUAUCCGGAUUUAUUGGGUUUAAAGGGUGCCCAGGCGGGCCAUUAAGUCGGCGGUGAAAUUUUGCGGCUCAACCGUAAAAGUGCCUUCGAUACUGGUGGUCUUGAGUGUGGAUGAGGUAGGCGGAAUUUGUGGUGUAGCGGUGAAAUGCAUAGAUAUCACGAGGAACUCCGAUUGCUAAGGCAGCUUACUAAGCCAUAACUGACGCUCAAGCACGAAGGCGUGGGGAUCAAAGAGGAUUAGAUACCCUGGUAGUCCACG